CCCAGAAGUUCUCUCUCCAGCACUCAUAGUUUGAGCAUGUACAGACUAUUAUUUCUUGUCGUUACUCCCUAAACAAUACAGUGUAGCAACUAUUUACAUAGGAUUCACAUUGUAUUAGGUAUUAUAAGUAAUCUAGAGAUUAUUUUAAAGUACAGGCAGUCCCUGGGUUAUGAAUGAGUUCCAUUCCCGAGUCCAUCUUUAAGUCAGAAUUGAAGUCGGAACAGGUACAUCUGGUCUUAUUUAGCGUCAGUUAGUCAAAUGUUUUUCUUAGUAUAUAGUAUAUAUUUUACCUUUCUAUGCAUAUAAAACUUAAGAAACAUAUGUAUUUCAAUAAUUAAACCACUGCAUUGCUUAGUAAUAAUUGUAGUUUUCAUCACACAGAACAACAGCAAAGCAAAUCUCUCACCUCCCUCUCACCCACGUAGCCGUGCAUACACACAGACAAUCCUCUAACUCCAGGACAGCCCAUCUCUGGACCUCCAGCCACCAAUAGACUCCCAGACACUGGACCUUUAACUUUGCUAAUGGAUUUACAUAUCCAAGGCUUUGGCCGCCAGGGCUCAUCUUCCAAACUUCAAUUGACCUUCAGGCUUCGAUCUUCUGUACCCACCCCAGGACUCGCCAAUUUUGACUACUGAGGACCCCAAGCACCAGGCCUCAAACUCUGGACUUGAGACAAUAAAUCUCGCAGAUUUCUACAGAUAUACCAUGGAGAGCAUUCCAAUUGCCUACAUCACCGCCUGGUAUGGAAGGGAGGAGUGCUAAUCCACAGGAUCAAACAAACCACACAAAAUGCUGGAGGAACUCAGCAAGACAGACAGCAUCUAGGGAGACAAACAAACGGUUGAUAUUUUGGGCCAAGACUCUGUACAAUGUCCUGAGUAUGUUACUCAAAAUGGCUUCUUUGGUUUGUAAUGAGUAGGAAUGCUUCUUUGUCUGAUAAGUGUUUCUCUCGCCGUUGUUCUGCUUUAAAAUGGCUGAUAUGGUAACUGUAUUCAUUUGUUAAUCAAUGGGGAAUGUUAUUGUGUCUUGUGAGGCUGGGAACUUAGGGGAGGGGUUUUCACGGGUUUUUGGUAUGAGGGGAGUCGGGAGAAAGACGCCGAGGGAGGUGGACGUGCGCUCAGAAGAUCACCGGGGAGUCUGGGGUGGAAGACGUGGAAGUCGGAGGCAAGCGACGAGGGGUCGAAUGGUUCGAUGGUUGAGCUCCGAGUGAACUAAACAGACUGAACUUUGAUAAGUUGGCACCUUUUGUUUUUUUCCUUAAAUAUAUAUAUUGUAUUGCCUAAUACUCUUUUAAUUUUAGUAAACUCUUUAAAGUGUAUUUCAUAACG
This is a long non-coding RNA of Hypanus sabinus (Atlantic stingray), 1331 nucleotides long. RefSeq lists it as uncharacterized. The transcript has 2 exons. The record is from RefSeq and is a predicted model, not a curated record. Lineage: Eukaryota; Metazoa; Chordata; Chondrichthyes; Myliobatiformes; Dasyatidae.